This 389-nucleotide ribosomal RNA is filed under the name Dinophyceae sp. RNAcentral describes it as "partial small subunit ribosomal RNA". It matches the Rfam family "Eukaryotic small subunit ribosomal RNA", at positions 582 to 975 of the family's 1831-position model. The record is from RNAcentral. Lineage: Eukaryota; Dinophyceae.
AUUCCAGCUCCAAUAGCGUAUAUUAAAGUUGUUGCGGUUAAAAAGCUCGUAGUUGGAUUUCUGCCGAGGACGACCGGUCCGCCCUCUGGGUGAGUAUCUGGCUUGGCCUGGGCAUCUUCUUGGAGAACGUUACUGCACUUGACUGUGUGGUGCGGUAUCCAGGACUUUUACUUUGAGGAAAUUAGAGUGUUUCAAGCAGGCAUACGCCUUGAAUACAUUAGCAUGGAAUAAUAAGAUAGGACCUCGGUUCUAUUUUGUUGGUUUCUAGAGCUGAGUUAAUGAUUAAUACGGACAGUUGGGGGUAUUCGUAUUCCAUUGUCAGAGGUGAAAUUCUUGGAUUUAUGGAAGACGAACUACUGCGAAAGCAUUUACCAAGGAUGUUUUCAUUA